Molecule: non-coding RNA, 216 nt
Filed under: Clostridiaceae bacterium
Lineage: Bacteria; Bacillati; Bacillota; Clostridia; Eubacteriales; Clostridiaceae
Description: T-box sequence
Rfam family: T-box leader
About the family: Uncharged tRNA acts as the effector for transcription antitermination of genes in the T-box leader family. T-boxes are found upstream of many aminoacyl-tRNA synthetase genes and some amino acid biosynthetic genes usually in Gram-positive bacteria. The anticodon of a specific tRNA base pairs to a specifier sequence within the T-box motif, and the NCCA acceptor tail of the tRNA base pairs to a conserved bulge in the T-box antiterminator hairpin.
Source: RNAcentral
UAAAACACAGUGAAGGGGAACAAGUACUUUAAGGCUAGUUUUCAGAGAGUUGGUGGUAGGUGUAAACCAACAUUAGUUUUAAAAGAAAUUCCGCCCUGGAGUGGGGUAUGAUGAAUACCACCGGUUAGCAUGGCUGUUAUCGUGCUCUAAGAGGACUAUUAAUAUUUUUUUCUGGUCAAUUUGGGUGGUAACGCGGGUUUAUAGCUCGUCCCUGUA